AUUGAACGCUGGCGGCAUGCCUUACACAUGCAAGUCGAACGGCAGCACGGGAGCAAUCCUGGUGGCGAGUGGCGAACGGGUGAGUAAUACAUCGGAACGUGCCCAGUAGUGGGGGAUAACCCGGCGAAAGCCGGACUAAUACCGCAUACGACCUACGGGUGAAAGCAGGGGAUCGCAAGACCUUGCGCUAUUGGAGCGGCCGAUGUCAGAUUAGCUUGUUGGGGGGUAAAAGCCUACCAAGGCAACGAUCUGUAGCUGGUCUGAGAGGACGACCAGCCACACUGGGACUGAGACACGGCCCAGACUCCUACGGGAGGCAGCAGUGGGGAAUUUUGGACAAUGGGCGCAAGCCUGAUCCAGCCAUGCCGCGUGCGGGAAGAAGGCCUGG
Molecule: ribosomal RNA, 388 nt
Filed under: uncultured bacterium
Lineage: Bacteria
Description: bacterial SSU rRNA
Rfam family: Bacterial small subunit ribosomal RNA
Source: RNAcentral